ACUGAACAAGACAUCUCGUCUCGACCGACGAACUUGGCUGGAAUCUUCGACAAGUACCCCCUCUCGAUCUACAAUGGUCCAACACUGACUACUCGAGGCAUUUGAGCCAAGGAAAGCAUACGUUAUCUCUGGGGAUAAGACCAUCGCCAGCCAUUUCCUAGUAGACUUGGUUGUACUAGAUCCUCGCUGCUCUAGUUUUGCACGUCCUGCUACCACUGGCUACGCAGCACGCACGCAAUCUGCACAGCGUGGAGACAUCUCCCGUCUCUUGCUCGGGAAGGAAGAAUCUCCAGGGUCCAGACUCCAGACCUGUGUGGCGAUGCUGAUGAACCUCAUCUAUUCCACCUGAUUAGCACAGCAAGCCAUCUGUGGCUCCGCGCGGUUUGUUGAGACGGAACCCGUAAAUUCAACUUAUCUCUUCUCUUCUUAAAUACUCGAAGAUCAAAUAGAACGAUUUCAUGCGCAAGGAUGGAAUUGUUAUACUACAUUGAUGGUUGAUUUCUGGAACUGUUUUGCCUGAAAUACUGAGGUCAAACUGCAUAAAGAGAAAUGGCCGAGGCUGCUCUUCUUCUUGUCACGACAAAGAUCGGAAUAGCUGUGGCAGCAGAAAUACUUCAUCACGCUAAGUCUGUUGCAAAACUCUCAGAGAAAAUGACACUGAUAAGGAAUGACCUAGAGCUUAUUCGAGCAUUUCUCAAGGAGAUUGGAAUGAAAGCUCCCACAGAUGGAGUAACCGAAACAUGGAUAGGGCAAGUCCGAAGAUUGGCGUAUGAUAUGGAAGACCUUGUGGAACAAUUUUUGUAUGUUGUUGGCAAACACGAUCAGAAAGGAUCAUGGUGGAGUAGUGUGAAGAAAAUCUUGAAGAAACCCCAGUAUCUGUUUACACUAGGUGAAAUCGCUACUGGCCUUGAGAAAAUAAACCAAGCCCUUACACAUCUUAAACAAAACAGAGACUGGACUCAAGCUGGUGUGGGCGAUCUUUUUGCAACAAAUUAUGACAGCCAACAACAACCAUAUCUUCCUGGACAUGAUUACUCAAUCUCUGAUGAUGAACUUGUGGGAUUUGAUAAAAAUAGAAAAAUGUUGACGGGGUCACUGAAUUUGGAAAAUUGUCCAGAUCUGCAAAUCAUUGCCUUGUGGGGUAUGGGUGGUAUCGGGAAAAGCACUCUUGUUAGUAACGUGUUUAGAAAUGAAGCAUCCAACUUUGAAUGCCGUGUAUGGGUUUCCGUCUCCCAGUCAUAUAAACUAGAGGAUAUUUCGAGAAGAAUUCUGAAAGAAAUCUAUUCUGAAGACAAGAAAGCAUUUGAUGGUGAGAAGCUGACUUGUGCAGAGCUACAAGAUAAAUUGAAGGAAAUCUUGAAGACAAAGCGGUACUUGAUCAUAUUGGAUGAUGUUUGGACAGCUGAAGCUUUUAGAAAAAUUAAAGAGGUUCUCGUCGAUACAAAAAUGGGAAGCAGAAUAAUAAUCACAACAAGAUCUGAUGAAGUAGCUUCACAAGCUGAUGACGGAUACAAGAUCAAAGUUGAGCCUCUUGAGAAGGAGGAUGCAUGGCAUCUGUUUUGCAGGAAGGCAUUUCCGAGAACUGAAAAUCACAUCUGCCCAUUAGCAUUACGGAAGUGUGGUGAAUCCAUAGUGGAGAAGUGUGAUGGUUUACCAUUAGCCCUUGUGGCCAUAGGGAGCAUAUUAUCUCUUAAGGAGCAGAAUGAUACAGAGUGGGGACUAUUUGAAGCACAACUUAUCUCCGAGCUAAACAACAAUUCGAACCUGAAGCAUGUGGUGAAAAUACUGAAUCUAAGCUACAAAUACUUGCCUGAUGAUUUGAAGAGUUGUUUCUUGUAUUGUGCCAUGUUCCCAGAAGACCACAUGAUCCAUAGAAAAAAAUUGAUCAGACUGUGGGUUGCAGAAGGGUUUAUAAAACAAAUUGGAAAUUGUAGUUUAGAAGAUGUUGCUGAAGGUUACCUGAGAGAGCUCGUUCGACGAAGCAUGCUUCAGGUGGUACAGAGAGACACAGUUUUAACAGGAUCAAGUGUCUUCGAAUGCAUGAUCUUGUGCGGGAAUUAGCCAUUUUCCAAUCCAAGAGAGAGAGUUUCGGUACAACUUAUGAUGAUAGUCAUGGGGUGAUGCAGGUGGAGUCAGAUUCUCGUCGCAUGUCGGUGCUCCAAUGCAAAAAUGACACUCAACCAAGCAUAGGUCAAUGCAGGCUUCGUACCUUCAUAGCAUUCAACACUAGUAUGGGAUCCUUUCCAUGGUUUAGAUCAGAAUCGAAGUACCUUGCUGUGUUGGAGCUAUCAGGGUUACCUAUUGAGACCGUUCCAAAUUCAAUUGGGGAGCUAUUCAGCCUUAGGUAUUUGGGCCUCGACAAAACCAAGGUGAAGGUACUCCCGAAAUCUGUUGUGAACCUUCACAACUUAGAAACAUUGAGUCUUCGAGGUGCAGACUGUCUGUAUCUCCCACGAGGGUCUAAAAAGUUGAAGAGCUUGAGGCACAUUAUAAUGGGUAAAUUGCUGGACGGAACUUUCUCGAGUUUCAAAAGUUUUGAAUCUAUGGAGCCUUCUGAGGGAUUGUGGAGUUUCAUGAACUUGCAAACUCUAGGUGCAGUUCGAGCUAGUAAAGCUUUCGUUGCAAAACUAGCAAGUUUAUCUCAGCUGAGGACCCUUAGCAUUACUGGGGUAAGGAGCAUCCACUGUGCACAGUUGUGUGACUCUCUGUCAAAGAUGCACCACCUCUCAUUAUUAGAAAUAAGUGCUAGCAACGAAGAUGAGGUGCUGCAGCUUGAAACUUUAACAUUGUCAAAUCGUCUUAAAAAGCUCACUUUGAUUGGGCGAUUUUCUGAAGGCACUUUGAAGUCUCCAUUUUGCUCAAACAAUGGAGAUGUACUUCACAGGUUUUUUCUCUAUUGGUCCCAGCUCUCGGAGAACCCAGUGCCGUGCCUCUCUGAAUUGUCAAACUUGACCCAAAUACGUCUAAACAAAGCGUAUACUGGACAGGAGAUAAACUUCCAGACAGAGUGGUUCCCAAAUGUGAAGACUCUUUCCUUAUUGAAUUUGCCACAUGUCAACCAAAUAUGCAUACACGAGGGAGCUUUGGUCCGCCUUGAAGAACUUGUGAUCAUAAACCUGGCCGAACUGCAGGACAUACCUGGGCUGGGACAUCUGAAAUCCCUCAAAGAGACGCAGUUUUAUGACAUGCAUCCUGAUUUUGUAAGGAAUCUUGAAGCGGCAAGACUAGAGCAUAUCCCGAUAUCCUACUACAGGACAGUGCGGGAAUUGAACCAUCCUAGCCAAUAUAUUAUGUUUGCACUUUUCAUGCCAUUCAGUGUGUGCUCGAUUACCUGCACCAAAUUCUAGCUUUUUGAGCUGAUGAAAUUCCGUUCUGUUGCAGACCCGGAGAGGCAUGAAUCUUUCUUGUGUGGGUGGGGUUUGCAGUUAUCACUUAUCACCCUCAAUCCGGGAGCUAUGUAUCUCUGUCGAGGAAUGGCGAUUUAUGAGACAACUGUCUCUCUUCUUGCUAUUAUUAUUCUUAUUUCUGCUUAUUAAAACAAGAACUGGUUUCUAAUAACUCAUGGGAAUGAUUUCUAUUGCCUCUAUCCCAUCUUGGAUUUACAUUAUUUAUGUUUAGUGGCGCUGUGCUACUGCUGUAGAUGAUUAUUAUGUAUAUCUUUUACAUAGUACUCCCUCCGUAAACUAAUAUAAGAGCAUUUAGAUAAC
This 3707-nucleotide ribosomal RNA is filed under the name Triticum aestivum (bread wheat). RNAcentral describes it as "partial small subunit ribosomal RNA". The record is from RNAcentral. Lineage: Eukaryota; Viridiplantae; Streptophyta; Magnoliopsida; Poales; Poaceae.